CCUACGGGGUGCAGCAGUGGGGAAUAUUGGGCAAUGGGCGCAAGCCUGACCCAGCAACGCCGCGUGAGGGAAGAAGGCCUUCGGGCUGUAAACCUCUGUCCCCCAGGACGAAAGAAAUGACGGUACUGGGGGAGGAAGCUCCGGCUAACUACGUGCCAGCAGCCGCGGUAAUACGUAGGGAGCAAGCGUUGUCCGGAAUUACUGGGCGUAAAGGGUGCGUAGGCGGCUAUGCAAGUCAGAUGUGAAAUCCCCGGGCUUAACUCGGGUGGUGCAUUUGAAACUGCGUGGCUUGAGUGCAGGAGAGGAAAGUGGAAUUCCUAGUGUAGCGGUGGAAUGCGUAGAUAUUAGGAGGAACACCAGUGGCGAAGGCGACUUUCUGGACUGUAACUGACGCUGAGGCACGAAAGCGUGGGGAGCAAACAGGAUUAGAUACCCCAGUAGUCC
This 444-nucleotide ribosomal RNA is filed under the name uncultured Bacillota bacterium. RNAcentral describes it as "bacterial SSU rRNA". It matches the Rfam family "Bacterial small subunit ribosomal RNA", at positions 338 to 796 of the family's 1533-position model. The record is from RNAcentral. Lineage: Bacteria; Bacillati; Bacillota.